Molecule: transfer RNA, 72 nt
Filed under: Camelus bactrianus (Bactrian camel)
Lineage: Eukaryota; Metazoa; Chordata; Mammalia; Artiodactyla; Camelidae
Also listed under: 1 other name
Rfam family: tRNA
About the family: Transfer RNA (tRNA) molecules are approximately 80 nucleotides in length. Their secondary structure includes four short double-helical elements and three loops (D, anti-codon, and T loops).
Source: Rfam by way of RNAcentral
GAGGGUGUAACUCAGUGGUAGAGCACGUGCUUAGUGUGAAUGAGGUCCUGGGUUCAAUCCCCAGUACCUCCA